Molecule: ribosomal RNA, 1112 nt
Filed under: Salmonella enterica subsp. enterica serovar Louisiana
Lineage: Bacteria; Pseudomonadati; Pseudomonadota; Gammaproteobacteria; Enterobacterales; Enterobacteriaceae
Description: bacterial SSU rRNA
Rfam family: Bacterial small subunit ribosomal RNA
Source: RNAcentral
AAAUUGAAGAGUUUGAUCAUGGCUCAGAUUGAACGCUGGCGGCAGGCCUAACACAUGCAAGUCGAACGGUAACAGGAAGCAGCUUGCUGCUUUGCUGACGAGUGGCGGACGGGUGAGUAAUGUCUGGGAAACUGCCUGAUGGAGGGGGAUAACUACUGGAAACGGUGGCUAAUACCGCAUAACGUCGCAAGACCAAAGAGGGGGACCUUCGGGCCUCUUGCCAUCAGAUGUGCCCAGAUGGGAUUAGCUAGUUGGUGAGGUAACGGCUCACCAAGGCGACGAUCCCUAGCUGGUCUGAGAGGAUGACCAGCCACACUGGAACUGAGACACGGUCCAGACUCCUACGGGAGGCAGCAGUGGGGAAUAUUGCACAAUGGGCGCAAGCCUGAUGCAGCCAUGCCGCGUGUAUGAAGAAGGCCUUCGGGUUGUAAAGUACUUUCAGCGGGGAGGAAGGUGUUGUGGUUAAUAACCGCAGCAAUUGACGUUACCCGCAGAAGAAGCACCGGCUAACUCCGUGCCAGCAGCCGCGGUAAUACGGAGGGUGCAAGCGUUAAUCGGAAUUACUGGGCGUAAAGCGCACGCAGGCGGUCUGUCAAGUCGGAUGUGAAAUCCCCGGGCUCAACCUGGGAACUGCAUUCGAAACUGGCAGGCUUGAGUCUUGUAGAGGGGGGUAGAAUUCCAGGUGUAGCGGUGAAAUGCGUAGAGAUCUGGAGGAAUACCGGUGGCGAAGGCGGCCCCCUGGACAAAGACUGACGCUCAGGUGCGAAAGCGUGGGGAGCAAACAGGAUUAGAUACCCUGGUAGUCCACGCCGUAAACGAUGUCUACUUGGAGGUUGUGCCCUUGAGGCGUGGCUUCCGGAGCUAACGCGUUAAGUAGACCGCCUGGGGAGUACGGCCGCAAGGUUAAAACUCAAAUGAAUUGACGGGGGCCCGCACAAGCGGUGGAGCAUGUGGUUUAAUUCGAUGCAACGCGAAGAACCUUACCUGGUCUUGACAUCCACGGAAGUUUUCAGAGAUGAGAAUGUGCCUUCGGGAACCGUGAGACAGGUGCUGCAUGGCUGUCGUCAGCUCGUGUUGUGAAAUGUUGGGUUAAGUCCCGCAACGAGCGCAAC